GACUAGAUGGAGGGACUGGGUACAUGGUUGGUUUCAUGGUCGCUACCUUUUGUAGAUGCAUCUUGUGUUGCAUGCGUACGUCCACUUUGUUUGGGAGUAGUCUAGACAUAUGGCCUUUCCUUUCCCUUUUCAUUCUCGCUCAGCUUAAAUCCAGGAUAUCGCGCGGACCUUAACUAUGUAUACACGUAGAUACUCUGGAGCUCUUCAGCGGUAUUUGAUUGACAACGAAGAGAGAAAAGAAGUGGGACUUUUCCGAAAAGCAAGCUCCCCUUAUCAACAAUUCCAAGGUUGUGCAUACAGUGCCCACCAUGCGUAAAUAUAUAUCCGUUCCAUCAUUCCUCUGCUAUGAAGGCUGC
This 356-nucleotide small RNA is filed under the name Histoplasma capsulatum. RNAcentral's name for it is "hypothetical RNA". The record is from RNAcentral. Lineage: Eukaryota; Fungi; Ascomycota; Eurotiomycetes; Onygenales; Ajellomycetaceae. RNAcentral also lists the same sequence under 1 other name.